This is a long non-coding RNA of Pyrus x bretschneideri (Chinese white pear), 197 nucleotides long. RefSeq lists it as uncharacterized. The transcript has 3 exons. Lineage: Eukaryota; Viridiplantae; Streptophyta; Magnoliopsida; Rosales; Rosaceae. The record is from RefSeq and is a predicted model, not a curated record.
UUGCUCACUCUCUGAGUGUUUCGUCGAGGGGUGAACACGGUCAAGGUUUUUCAACAAGAAAAUUAACCUGCAAAUUAAAUUGAGAAUGUGUAAUUUUGUUAAUGAGGUGGAGUUGCAAUAAGAAUUGCAUUGCAUUUGGUUGCAGUGUGUUUGUUUCCACCGCGUUAUCAAAGGCUUUAUGAUACAAGGUGGAGACA